UCCCUAUGGGGUGCAGCAGCCGCGAAACCUCUACAAUGUACGCAAGUACGAUAGGGGAAUCCCGAGUGCUCAUGUUCUGCAUGGGCUUUUGUCAAGUGUAAAAAGCUUGGCGAAUAAGUGGUGGGUAAGACUGGUGCCAGCCGCCGCGGUAACCCCAGCACCACAAGUGGCAAUCACGUUUAUUGGGCCUAAAGCGUUCGUAGCCGGUUUAGUAAGUUCUGGGUGAAAUCGUUCUGCUCAACAGAACGGCGUGCCUGGAGUACUGCUAAACUUGAGACCGGAGAAGAGUUAGGAGUAUGUCGGGGGGAGCGGUAAAAUGCUAUAAUCCCCGAUGGACUACCUGUGGCGAAGGCGCCUAACUAGAACGGGUCUGACGGUGAGGGACGAAAGCCAGGGGAGCAAUCCGGAUUAGAUACCCGAGUAGUCCUGGCUGUAAACGCUGUGAACUAGAUGUUGCGCAUUCUAUAUGAAUGCGCAGUGUCGGAGCGAAGGUGUUAAGUUCACCGCCUGGGAAGUACGGUCGCAAGGCUGAAACUUAAAGGAAUUGGCGGGGGAGCACCACAAGGGGUGCGGCGUGCGGUUUAAUCUAAUUCAACGCAGAGAAUCUCACCAGAAGCGACGGCAGGAUGAAGGUCAGAUUAAAGGUCUUACCUGACAAGCCGAGAAGUGGUGCAUGGCC
RNAcentral lists this ribosomal RNA (679 nucleotides) under uncultured euryarchaeote. RNAcentral describes it as "bacterial SSU rRNA". It matches the Rfam family "Archaeal small subunit ribosomal RNA", at positions 319 to 999 of the family's 1478-position model. The record is from RNAcentral. Lineage: Archaea; Methanobacteriati; Methanobacteriota.